Molecule: RNA transcript, 8258 nt
Organism: Malaya genurostris
Lineage: Eukaryota; Metazoa; Arthropoda; Insecta; Diptera; Culicidae
Exons: 2
Source: RefSeq, a predicted model, not a curated record
CGACGAUACCUCUCGCCGAUAUGAUGUGCGAACCACCCUGCCUUAUUCCUCACAAGAAAGUUACCACAGGGUAUAUAAAGCAAUUUCUCACAACCUUGACAAAUGUCACUAGUGCAAGAAUCAGAAAAAGACAGUAAAAGCAUUGAAAGCGAUCGGUUGUGCAAUUUGUAGUCGAUUUGGAUUUAAUUUCUAUGGUGUUUGAAUUUCUGAAUCUAACUUGAUUCAUCCACGUAGUAAGUGGAACAGUUAGUACAAUUGAGGUACGUUUAGAGUAAAAGAAUUAUUACAUGUAUUACUUACCUUACCACUAGUUAAAUACUUACCAAAAAUGUGUGAAUUAAAGCUUAACCUAAAACUUACCGUUGCUAUUAUAGAUAACAAUUAGUCAUCCUUCCGCGGUGAUACCUGAAAAGAAAGAAGAAGAAACACUGAAAAUGUAAGAAACGAUUAUACUUACCCUUUAUAUAUCUACUAAAUAAUUCAAUAAAUUACAGCCUUUUAGCUGCAUAGUAAGGCAACUACAAAGACGGUGUUUACUUUCGGGAACAUUUCUAAAAGGAUUUUCAUCCUAAGUUGGAUGUUGGAUAGUUACCAAAAAGUUCCUUCAGCGUACGUACCGCCCGGAAGAAGGAUUCUACUCGUCGGAGGAGAGUAAAUACCGAAGACGACCACUCGGAAGUGAGGUUUGAGAGUGGAUUUAUAUCGACCGCUAUAAUUAUUAUAGAAGAUAUUUCUGUCACCCACUAAUCGCGAGUCCCGUACAGUUUAGGUUAGAGUGAAAUAAAUUGUAUAAAUCGUUCAGGGAAAGUUAGGUCGCUAUUUCGGUUAAAAUAGUCGUUCGAAAUGUCAGACGAACAAAAUAAUUUGACAUCGAGUAAUAACGAUAGGCACUGCAAGAGGUGCAAUCGUGCCGAUGCCGAUGACGACAUGGUAUGUUGCGAUGUAUGUGAAUCGUGGAUUCACUUUCAGUGUGCUGGUGUUAGUGAAUCUAUUGCCGAACCGGAUAGAAGUUUUAAGUGCAGUAAAUGCAUGACUGAUUGGGAUGGCGAAUCGAAAUCAGCUGUUUCUUUCAAUGAGUCGUCUGUCAGCAAGAGUAGUCGAGCAUCGCAGAAAUUGCAGCUUAGUCUUCAACUUCUUGAGGAGCAGCAAAAUUUGAAGCAGAAACAAAUCGAAAUAGAACAAGAGUACUUACGGAAGCGAUAUGAAUUGCUGCUUCAGAUUGAAGAGGAAAAAGAUUCUAGCAAAUCAAGUCGGAAAAGUGGAAUCAGCGUGAAAAGAAGGUGUGAACAAAUGGAGAACUGGCUUAAUAAGGGAACACAAGUUGACAGAGCGGGACAGUCGGAGCCUAAAAUGUCUGAACAGAAGGUUACCCUGCCAGCACCAGUCGUUUGCCAGAAGAAUGAUGUUCCGGUACCAAAGCCAACGUCAUUUGCCUCGAACGUUCUUACUGUGACCAAUCCGAAUUCGCUUAAUCUCAAUCCAGGAGUUCCAGUUCCAGGUGGAAGUAUUAGUACCGAAUCGUUUGUAUCAACACCGGGCAAAACUACAGCAAAUCCGCAUUCGAUUUCUUCAGUAGUUUCUGGUAUAGUGAUCCCUGCUGAAGGUAGUUCGAUCACGUCCGCUGCUGUAAUGUCGACGAGCGUUUCGUUAAUACCCGUAUCUGUACCAACAAUUUCAACAUCGAUUCUGCCCAGCGUUACGGAUGCUCUUAUCCGUGCAGUGCCAGUCUGUUCACAUUCACGAAUAAAUACCGGAGAAGUAAUCCAAACGAUUCCGCCAAUGUCUUCAUUGCAGUUGUAUAAAAGAAACGUAACUAACUCAGGACUUGUCUCUUCUGGAAAUACAGUAUUCACUUCUACUGUGCAGCAUCCUUCGAUUUCUGGCUUGGCAGUUUCCGGAGUUCCAUGGUUACCGGAAUUUCCCGUUUUGAAUCCAGUGUCUUCAUCUCCGCUGCCCGAUAGGAGCUACCGUUCGAUUCCUGGCUUGGCCACAAUCACUUCUACUGUGCAGCAUCCUUCGAUUCCCGGUUUGGCAGUUUCCGGCGUUCCAUGGCUACCCGAAUAUCCUGUUUCGAGUUAUUAUCCACCAACAAGUGUGCCUGUUUCUGCUGUAAGACCGGCGUCAGUACCGUCUGUUGUACCAUCAUCGUUGGGAGUUUAUGGAAAUAGACACGAUGUUCCAGUUAGCGUAGGGCCGAAUAGUGCUCAGUUGGCGGCUAGGCAGGUUAUGCCGCGUGAAUUACCGAAGUUCAACGGGGAUCCUCACGAGUGGCCCAUCUUCUACAGUUCUUUUAAGAAUACAACGGAUGUUUGUGGAUACACCGACGCUGAGAAUCUAGCCAGAUUACAACGUUGCUUAGGAGGUGCCGCACUGGAAGCAGUAAGGAGUCGUCUACUUUUACCAGCGUCCGUGCCGUACGUGAUGGAUACAUUACAAAAGCUCUACGGUAGACCCGAAAUUCUGAUCAGUUCUCUUCUGAAGAAAGUACGAAACGUUCCACCGCCAAAGUCAGAAAAUCUGAGUUCCAUUGUCUGCUACGGGUUGGCGAUACAAAAUCUCGUUGAUCACAUUGUGUUGGCCGAACAACAAGCACAUUUAUCGAAUCCUAUAUUACUUCAAGAAUUAGUUGAUAAAUUGCCCGCUUCAUUGAAGAUGCAGUGGGGCACGUUCAAGCAAGCGUAUACGAACGUCAACUUGGCGACGUUCAACGGAUUUAUGUCAGGACUAGUGAAUUUAGCUUCCGAGCUUUGCAUUGAUGUAGUCUCUGUCCAAAACUAUCAACAGUCGCAGAGAACGGAAAAACAGAAACAAAAGGAAAAGCUAUUUACUCAUUCCAGCGUGCUGCCUAGUACGUCGAAAGACAGGUCAGUCGAGGAAUCUACUUCAAAAGCGUGCGCUUACUGUGGGAAAGACGACCAUCAGAUUAUAAAUUGUCGCGGUUUCAAAUCGUUAGACGUUGGAGGUCGGUGGAAGGCAGUUCGACAGAAGAACUUGUGCCGGUUGUGCUUGAUUCCGCAUCGUAAAUGGCCGUGUAGAUCGAAGAAGGAAUGUGGACAAGAUGGAUGUCGAGUUCGACAUAAUAUGCUACUACACAGUAGUCGCAAUGACGACGGAAAUGGUCAUAGGUCGGAAGAAGUCGUUCAUCAGAACCAUCAUCAUACGAAAUCCUUUUCGUUGUUUCGUUAUUUGCCAGUUACGCUGUAUGGAAACGGAAGAGAAGUAAACACCUUCGUAUUCCUAGAUGAUGGAUCGUCGUGUACACUGCUUGAAGAAGGAAUCGCUGCACAGCUUGGCAUAGAAGGAGAACCUGAUCAUCUAUGGCUGAGUUGGACCGGAAAGGUUAGCAGACAUGAAAAAACUUCAAGGAGGCUGAGUAUUAAAAUAUCCGGAGACGAACAUAAGGAAAUGUUUCAGCUGGCUAAUGUUCGUACGGUGCGUGAGCUAGGUCUUCCAAGUCAAACACUGGACUAUUCAGAGUUGUCGGAUAGAUUUCCGCAUCUUCAAGGACUUCCCGUAGCCAGCUACAUCGAUGCCAAACCUGGUAUGAUAAUCGGCUUGGAACACGUACGGCUUCUAACUAGCUUGAAGACAAGAGAAGGCUGUAGUAGUGAACCUGUAGCGUCGAAAACUCGGUUGGGAUGGUGCGUGUACGGAAGGAAUUGUGGAAAUGGAGACUCGGUUGAACAGUUACACAUCCAUUCAUGUGACGACAUGAGCAACAGCAGCCUACAUGAUGCAAUGCGGAAGUUUUUUGCGGUGGAAGAAGUAGUUUCGACGCAUCAGUUAGAAUCGGAAGAAGAUAAACGAGCACGUAGUAUUUUGGAGGUAACAACGGUACGAAAAGGAAACCGAAUGGAGACGGGUUUGCUUUGGCGAAAUGACGAGCGGAAUUUCCCGAACAGCUAUCAAAUGGCGAUCAGCAGGUUGAGAGGCUUAGAGAAACGGUUAGCAAAAGACCCCGACUUACGGAUAAAAGUCAUUGAUCAAAUCAAAAGCUACGAGCAGAAACAGUACGUUCGAAAAAUAUCGCCAGAAGAAUUAGCAAAAGUAAACACUAGGCGAACAUGGUUUCUACCGUUAGGUGUUGUGACGAAUCCCAAGAAACCAAACAAGAUUCGAAUGGUGUGGGAUGCAGCUGCGAAAGCAGGUGGAGUUGCGUUUAAUGAUAUGCUGCUCAAAGGUCCAGAUCUGCUCGUAUCGCUAGUCAACCUUUUGCUACGUUUUCGAGAAGGCAAAAUAGCAGUAUGCUCGGAUAUUCGCGAAAUGUUUCUGAGAAUUCUCAUUCGGGAAGAGGAUAAGUGGUCGCAGUGCUUUCUGUGGCGUAACAGUCCAGCAGAUGAAGUGCAGGUGUACGUAAUCAACGUCGCUAUGUUCGGAGCAACCAGCUCACCGUGUACGGCACAGUUCGUAAAGAACAGAAACGCUCUCGAAUAUGCCAAAUUAUAUCCCAGAGCAGCAGAUGCAAUCGUUUACAACCACUACGUCGACGAUUUUCUGGACAGUGUCAAUUCGGAGGAUGAAGCAGUAAAACUAAUUGAAGAAGUGCAGCUCAUCCACGCUGCAGCAGGGUUUGAAUUCGGAAAGAUAUUGUCGAACUCGUCGAAUGUGCUCGAUCGUCUGGGAGAAACCGAGUCGUUGAACAGCAAGUCGCUAGGUUUGGACAAAAAUCCUUCGUGCGAGCGAGUCUUAGGAUUGGUGUGGGUUCCGUCAACGGAUAGCUUUACCUUCGAUCGAUCAGCCGUUAAAGAUGUUCUAGGUAGCAAUAUUGUAACUCCGACAAAACGGCAAGUGCUACGAACAGUAAUGAAACUGUAUGACCCCUUGGGAUUCGUAGCACAUUUUGUGGUCCAAGGAAAAAUCCUAAUGCAAGAAAUUUGGCGUGCAGGAACUAACUGGGACGAACCGAUUUCUGAGUGCUUAAGCGAUCUUUGGAGUAGAUGGAUUGAGUUGUACGACAAGAUCGACGAAGUAAGGAUACCCCGAUGUUAUUUUGUUGGACCUAAGGAGGUGGAUGAAAUCGAGAUCCAUGUGUUCACAGAUGCCAGCGUGUCGGCAUGUGCAUGUGUAGCAUAUCUGAGGAUGUCGAAUAACGGAAGUUGCUGGUGUUCUCUAGUAGCAGCAAAAACAAAGGUUGCGCCAAUUCGUCCACUUUCAGUUCCUAGGUUGGAAAUUCAAGCGGCUAUGAUGGGAGCUCGAUUAAUGCAAACCGUAAGCUCUGCACUCACGGUCAACAUAAAAAGACGAUUCCUGUGGACAGAUUCAACGGUAGUUCUAGCCUGGCUUCGCUCCGACAGUCGUCGAUAUCCUCCGUUCGUGUCGUUUCGAGUCGGUGAAAUCCUUUCGCUUACCAGUGUUGAUGAAUGGUACUACGUGCCUUCAAAGCUCAACGUAGCUGACGAUGCCACGAAGUGGAAUACAGGAUUGUCGUUUGAUCCAGACAGCCGUUGGUUUCAAGCCCCCUCAUUUUUACCCACGAAAGAGCAGUGGCCCAAACAGUCUACUAAAGUAGAUGAAGCGGAUGCCUCCGUUGAAGAAGUUCGAGUAGUAGCAGUACACCAGGCAGUAGAGGAGAUCGUUAAUGCAGAUCGUUUUUCUAACUGGAAUCGAUUAGUAAGGGCGAUGGCUUAUGUUUAUAAAGCAAUAAAUAAAUGGAAACAAUCUGAAAGCGGUAGUUGUCUUCGGCAGGAUGAGUUCAAUAAGGCAGAGGAAGCUCUCUGGCGCCAGGCGCAAGCGCAGUCAUAUGAGGAAGAGAUUCAGGCAUUGACGAAGGGUUGCAGUGUUAGUAAACAAAGCUCGCUGAGGUCGAUGGUUCUCUAUCUGGACGAUAAAGGACUUGUUCGGAUCAAAGGCCGAAUCGGAAAUGCAUCACAUAUUCCCUACGCGACCAGGUACCCAGUAGUACUUCCCAGGAACAGCCGAAUAACCUUUCUUCUUGUGGAUGCUUUCCAUCGACGGUUUCUUCAUGCGAACAACGAAACAGUUUACAACGAAUUGCGACAGAAGUUUCACAUUCCAAAAUUGCGAACAUUCAUACGCCAAGUUGGAAGAAUUUGUCAGCACUGUAAAGUGAAGAAAGCUGUUCCGGUGCCACCGUUAAUGGGACCGCUUCCCAAAGUACGCUUAACGCCAUUUAUUCGACCAUUUACGUACGUCGGUGUCGAUUAUAUGGGACCGUUCGAGGUCAAAAUUGGACGCAGUCUGGUAAAGCGCUGGAUAUGCUUGUUCACCUGUCUCACGAUUCGGGCAGUUCAUUUGGAACUGGUGCAUAGCCUUUCAACAAUCUCUUGUGUAAUGGCAGUCAGAAGAUUUGUGUCUCGGCGGGGCGCGCCUCUUGAGAUUUUCUCCGAUAAUGGCACCAACUUCGUUGGAGCAAAUCGCCAGUUGACAGAAGAAAGGUCGAAAAUCGAGAAAAUAUCCAAGCACUGUGCCGCCACAUUCACGAACGCAGAUACGCAGUGGCAUUUUAACGUUCCUGCAGCUCCGCAUAUGGGUGGACCAUGGGAACGCAUGGUUAAAUCCGUAAAGAUUGCGAUGAAAGCUAUUUCAGACAGUCCCCGACAUCCAAGUGAUGAGGUUUUAGAAACUAUCAUGUUGGAAGCGGAAGGCAUUGUGAAUUCCCGACCACUGACCUACGUACCGUUGGAAGCAGAAGAUCAAGAGUCACUCACGCCGAAUCAUUUCCUGCUAUACAGUUCAAGCGGGAUUAAACAACCACCGAGCGAUCCUGUAGCUAAAGGAUACAUUCUACGGGAUAGUUGGAAGCUAGCGCAGCACAUCGUAGAUGAAUUCUGGCGAAGGUGGGUUCGGGAAUAUCUUCCAAUGUUAACGCGCCAGACGAAAUGGUUCGAUGCAGUUAAACCAUUAGCACCGGGCGAUCUAGUUGUCGUCGUGGAUGAACAAGCUAGAAACCGUUGGGAACGAGGACGCAUUCUCGAGACGUUUCCGGAUAAAACCGGACAAGUAAGAAGAGCGACGGUGCAGACAAACAGAGGAGUGUUUGCUAGGCCGGCGGUGAAGCUAUCCGUUCUAGAUGUCGUAAGCAGUAGCCAGAACUCGGAGCGAAUCGCUUCGGAAUCGGGGAUGAUUCACGGGUAGGGGAAUGUCGACGAUACCUCUCGCCGAUAUGAUGUGCGAACCACCCUGCCUUAUUCCUCACAAGAAAGUUACCACAGGGUAUAUAAAGCAAUUUCUCACAACCUUGACAAAUGUCACUAGUGCAAGAAUCAGAAAAAGACAGUAAAAGCAUUGAAAGCGAUCGGUUGUGCAAUUUGUAGUCGAUUUGGAUUUAAUUUCUAUGGUGUUUGAAUUUCUGAAUCUAACUUGAUUCAUCCACGUAGUAAGUGGAACAGUUAGUACAAUUGAGGUACGUUUAGAGUAAAAGAAUUAUUACAUGUAUUACUUACCUUACCACUAGUUAAAUACUUACCAAAAAUGUGUGAAUUAAAGCUUAACCUAAAACUUACCGUUGCUAUUAUAGAUAACAAUUAGUCAUCCUUCCGCGGUGAUACCUGAAAAGAAAGAAGAAGAAACACUGAAAAUCCUUUUAGCUGCAUAGUAAGGCAACUACAAAGACGGUGUUUACUUUCGGGAACACAGACACAUUUUAUGCAAACUUGUAACCGAAAAUAUUGAAACUUUUCUGGAUUAGCCGGGUAAUCGAGAGUCAUUUUGUACAUAUGCGAGAGAACAUGGAGAGAAAUGUAAUACGCAGAGCGAGGCACGUGGUUAUACGCGACCUACUGGCCUCAGCCAUUGACGUUAUAGUUUUGUUUUGCUGUGAUUUAUAUGACAAAAAAUAAAGUUGUCUUUCAUAUUUAGGGAAAUCGUGUCAGAAGUGUUGUAGUUGUAAUAUUUCUAUAACAGGCAGGAGGAUUUUGUUAUUGCUCCGGAACGUUUUGAAUUUUUUGGAAGAUCGCACCGAGUAGGUUCAACGUACAGCAUUUUUUUUUUGUUUCAAUUAUAGAUGUUUCAACCUUAAGAUCAUUCGCUUCUUCGGACCAGAAAAGCUUUCUGACCCUACCCAGUGAAAUUUAUCGACCCGCAUAAGUCCGAUCAUCGGCCCGAUUAUCGGACCGAUUGAGCACGAUAUGGGGCCGAUCGUAGCGCUUCGAUCGGCCCGUCAUCGGACAGUUCUGCACCAUUUGCAUCAACCGCGUCGACCUAAAAAAGCUUUAUGUUAACAUUAUGUAUCGCUAGAGAAACAUAGCGAAGGAAUAUCAAACAAGGCAUUUUCGAGACGGCGUCUCUCCGAUAGGGUG